GUUCGUGUGGCCUAAUGGAUAAGGCGUCGGACUUCUACACAAGAAGGCAAUCCGAAAAUUGCGGGUUCGAGUCCCGCCUCGAAUA
Molecule: non-coding RNA, 85 nt
Organism: Daphnia pulex (common water flea)
Lineage: Eukaryota; Metazoa; Arthropoda; Branchiopoda; Diplostraca; Daphniidae
Source: Rfam